UACGUAGGGUGCGAGCGUUAAUCGGAAUUACUGGGCGUAAAGUGUGCGCAGGCGGCCGAGCAAGUCGAGUGUGAAAGCCCCGAGCUUAACUUGGGAACUGCGCUCGAAACUACUUGGCUGGAGUGUGGCAGAGGAAGGUGGAAUUCCACGUGUAGCGGUGAGAUGCGUAGAGAUGUGGAGGAACACCGAUGGCGAAGGCAGCCUUCUGGGCCAACACUGACGCUCAUGCACGAAAGCGUGGGGAGCAAACAGG
RNAcentral lists this ribosomal RNA (253 nucleotides) under uncultured bacterium. Its description in RNAcentral is "partial 16S ribosomal RNA". It matches the Rfam family "Bacterial small subunit ribosomal RNA", at positions 524 to 776 of the family's 1533-position model. The record is from RNAcentral.